This 580-nucleotide long non-coding RNA is filed under the name Pelobates cultripes (western spadefoot toad). The record is from RNAcentral. Lineage: Eukaryota; Metazoa; Chordata; Amphibia; Anura; Pelobatidae.
CAUCCAUCGCCCCGUAUCCGAAGGAAGAGUCAAAGAUCGUUUUGCCAAUCCAAGUUUGUAUGUGAAGUAAUCACCAUCGAAAUUCCAUCCUCACUUCCGCUGACAGUGGGAUCCAGUGGUCGUAUGAGUGACCGGUGCGUACGUAUCUCACCAUCAGUCGUAGUGGGCCAGGGAAUAACGCUUGUAUGGAGGAGGAGAGGAGUAGAGGAAUCCCACAAUCUGACAGCUAUCCUUAUAGAGGCGCUCUUUACCGUAGAUGGACGCGGAACGUAGUUCUCCAAGCCGAUGUCAAAACCGAGGAACUGGCCCGAUUCAGAUGGAGAAGCGAUCUUUGUCUGUGUACAACAAAAAGCCCAUGGAGUCCCGAAAGUGAACGACAAAUUUGUCUGCAAACGUAGCCAGGAUUCGUAAAGAAUCAGCAAGUCUUCCAGGUAUACGAGGCAUCGCACGCCCAAACUUACGGAUGUGUGCCCUCACUGGUUACAGUAGGUUCGCGAGCAUCACGGAGUCGUAAACUUGCCGUGUUUGUCAUCACCAUUGGAAUCGGAGGAAAACUUACGCAGUCCAGGGCAACGGGUAC